Molecule: unclassified non-coding RNA, 236 nt
Filed under: Hevea brasiliensis (rubber tree)
Lineage: Eukaryota; Viridiplantae; Streptophyta; Magnoliopsida; Malpighiales; Euphorbiaceae
Source: RNAcentral
CUGAUCAUACAAAUUAGCCCUUAAUUACGUGGGUCAUUUGAAUUUAAGUUAUUUCAAAUUUUGAGUUCAUUCAAACAUAAUUAUGGAUUUGACAAAAAAUUUAAACUAUCCUAGCUACCUCAUUCUAUAUAUAUCCUUUAGAAACAGAUCAGUCUGUUCUUAUUGAUAAAUUGAGUUUUAUCUCCUUUUUGUGAGGAUUUGGUAUUUUCUCAAUUUGUUGCUUCCUCCAUUGCAAG